RNAcentral lists this ribosomal RNA (472 nucleotides) under uncultured bacterium. RNAcentral describes it as "bacterial SSU rRNA". It matches the Rfam family "Bacterial small subunit ribosomal RNA", at positions 355 to 825 of the family's 1533-position model. The record is from RNAcentral.
UGGGGAAUUUUGGACAAUGGGGGCAACCCUGAUCCAGCCAUGCCGCGUGAGUGAAGAAGGCCUUCGGGUUGUAAAGCUCUUUCGGCGGGGACGAAACGGUCCGUGACAACACCACGGACUAAUGACAGUACUCGCAGAAGAAGCACCGACUAACUACGUGCCAGCAGCCGCGGUAAUACGUAGGGUGCAGGCGUUAAUCGGAAUUACUGGGCGUAAAGCGUGCGCAGGUGGCUCCUUAAGUCAGAUGUGAAAUCCCCGGGCUUAACCUGGGAACUGCGUUUGAAACUGAGGAGCUAGAGUGUGGAAGAGGGGGGUGGAAUUCCAGGUGUAGCAGUGAAAUGCGUAGAGAUCUGGAGGAACACCGAUGGCGAAGGCAGCCCCCUGGGCUAACACUGACACUCAUGCACGAAAGCGUGGGGAGCAAACAGGAUUAGAUACCCACGUAGUCCCUGAGCGGGCUGGCAAGGCGCAU